GAUGAACGCUGGCGGCGUGCCUAAUACAUGCAAGUCGAGCGAACAGACGAGGAGCUUGCUCCUCUGACGUUAGCGGCGGACGGGUGAGUAACACGUGGAUAACCUACCUAUAAGACUGGGAUAACUUCGGGAAACCGGAGCUAAUACCGGAUAAUAUAUUGAACCGCAUGGUUCAAUAGUGAAAGACGGUUUUGCUGUCACUUAUAGAUGGAUCCGCGCCGCAUUAGCUAGUUGGUAAGGUAACGGCUUACCAAGGCGACGAUGCGUAGCCUACCUGAGAGGGUGAUCGGCCACACUGUAACUGAGACACGGUCCAGACUCCUACGGGAGGCAGCAGUAGGGAAUCUUCCGCAAUGGGCGAAAGCCUGACGGAGCAACGCCGCGUGAGUGAUGAAGGUCUUCGGAUCGUAAAACUCUGUUAUUAGGGAAGAACAAAUGUGUAAGUAACUAUGCACGUCUUGACGGUACCUAAUCAGAAAGCCACGGCUAGCUACGUG
Molecule: ribosomal RNA, 497 nt
Filed under: uncultured bacterium
Lineage: Bacteria
Description: partial 16S ribosomal RNA
Rfam family: Bacterial small subunit ribosomal RNA
Source: RNAcentral